Molecule: unclassified non-coding RNA, 609 nt
Filed under: Bombus terrestris (buff-tailed bumblebee)
Lineage: Eukaryota; Metazoa; Arthropoda; Insecta; Hymenoptera; Apidae
Description: misc RNA ENSBTSG00005031026.1
Source: RNAcentral
CUCUAUGCAAAUUGCACGUGAUUUAUAACGGUGGUUUGAAAGUGUAGUAACGUGUAUAUUCGUUAAAAAAAGUUGUCAAUUGCUUUGGUGCCUAUUCACCUAAGCAACUUUUAUACAUUCUGACACACUUCGUGUACAACCGAUUUGAAAGAACAUCGUAGAUAUUUCGUGCGCGACGAUCGGCAAACUAUCAACGAUUUCCUAUCUACUUCCGUUUCGCAAGAAAGACGUUAGACCAACGGAGGUUGAGAGAGAGAGAGAGAGAGAGAGAGAGAGAGAGAGAGAAAGAGAGAGACGUCUAGAGAGAGAGAGAGUGAGAGAGAGCGGGAGGGGGAGAGAGGAAAGAAAAGAAAGAACCGACUAGGAGAUGAAGAGGAAGCAGUUUAAGUUGGCGAGAGUGUUAGUGAAAAGGCGGACAUUAAGGCGUCAGACCACGUCUUGUAUGCAUCCCUAGGGCCGUGGAUGAGGUAUCGUCAAAAAAGGAGGGCGGCACCUGUAAAUCAGUGUAAUCGGUGACCUGCCCUGGGAGUACAUUAGAAUAAUUUAUGGUCGGGCCCGCUAAGACGUAAAAAGACGUUGUGUUAUCCGCCACCGUUUCUCUCACUCCUC